This is a non-coding RNA of Ilex paraguariensis (yerba mate), 113 nucleotides long. NCBI's taxonomy places the organism in Eukaryota, Viridiplantae, Streptophyta, Magnoliopsida, Aquifoliales, Aquifoliaceae. The record is from the annotation of a GenBank genome assembly.
GCGAUUACAUUAGGACUAAUGCAUCAGAUUCCAUUAGAACUUUACAAUUAAGUUUGUUUGGGUGAGAAUAGUACUCCGAUGGAGGACCUUGACUAAUCCUUGUGCUGCAUUCU